RNAcentral lists this ribosomal RNA (253 nucleotides) under uncultured bacterium. Its description in RNAcentral is "partial 16S ribosomal RNA". It matches the Rfam family "Bacterial small subunit ribosomal RNA", at positions 524 to 776 of the family's 1533-position model. The record is from RNAcentral.
UACGAAGGGGGCUAGCGUUGCUCGGAAUCACUGGGCGUAAAGGGCGCGUAGGCGGCCGUUCAAGUCGGGGGUGAAAGCCUGUGGCUCAACCACAGAAUGGCCCUCGAUACUGGACGGCUCGAGACCGGAAGAGGUUGGUGGAACUGCGAGUGUAGAGGUGAAAUUCGUAGAUAUUCGCAAGAACACCGGUGGCGAAGGCGGCCAACUGGUCCGGUUCUGACGCUGAGGCGCGAAAGCGUGGGGAGCGAACGGG